Molecule: small nucleolar RNA, 204 nt
Filed under: Dasypus novemcinctus (nine-banded armadillo)
Lineage: Eukaryota; Metazoa; Chordata; Mammalia; Cingulata; Dasypodidae
Description: Small nucleolar RNA SNORA73 family (ENSDNOG00000047494.1)
Rfam family: Small nucleolar RNA SNORA73 family
About the family: U17 (SNORA73A and SNORA73B) also known as E1 belongs to the H/ACA class of small nucleolar RNAs (snoRNAs). Vertebrate U17 is intron-encoded and ranges in length from 200-230 nucleotides, longer than most snoRNAs.
Source: RNAcentral
CCAACAUGGAUACCUGGGAGGUCACUCUCCCUGGGCUCUGUCCAGGUGGUGCAGAGGAGCAUAGGGCUCAGCCCAGUGAUGUACAGCCCUACUCCACAACGUUGGAGAUGAAGCCGGGCUCUCGAGCCCGCACCUGCAUAUUCCUACAGCUUCUCAGAGUCCUAUGGACAAUGACUGAGGAGACAAACCAUGCAGGAAACAGUU